Molecule: small RNA, 99 nt
Filed under: Flavobacterium cauense R2A-7
Lineage: Bacteria; Pseudomonadati; Bacteroidota; Flavobacteriia; Flavobacteriales; Flavobacteriaceae
Description: Flavo-1 RNA
Rfam family: Flavo-1 RNA
Source: RNAcentral
CAUUAGCCCCGAUGGGAGCGGCAUCCUUUUUGUUUUAACCGAUGUUGAUAAUGAACAAAUUGGUGUGACAAAAAGAUUCAGCGGACAGCGGGAAACAGC